UGGCACGACCCUGUGAGUUAC
Molecule: non-coding RNA, 21 nt
Filed under: Arabidopsis thaliana (thale cress)
Lineage: Eukaryota; Viridiplantae; Streptophyta; Magnoliopsida; Brassicales; Brassicaceae
Source: RNAcentral